UAAGCCUGCGAAGGUGGCCUGUGAGGGUUGCUGGAGGUAUCAGAAGUGCGAAUGCUGACAUAAGUAACGAUAAAGCGGGUGAAAAGCCCGCUCGCCGGAAGACCAAGGGUUCCUGUCCAACGUUAAUCGGGGCAGGGUGAGUCGACCCCUAAGGCGAGGCCGAAAGGCGUAGUCGAUGGGAAACGGGUUAAUAUUCCCGUACUUGGUGUUACUGCGAAGGGGGGACGGAGAAGGCUAUGUUGGCCGGGCGACGGUUGUCCCGGUUUAAGCGUGUAGGUGUGUGUUCCAGGUAAAUCCGGUUCACUUUAACACUGAGGCGUGACGACGAGGCACUACGGUGCUGAAGCAACAAAUGCCCUGCUUCCAGGAAAAGCCUCUAAGCAUCAGGUAACAUCAAAUCGUACCCCAAACCGACACAGGUGGUCAGGUAGAGAAUACCAAGGCGCUUGAGAGAACUCGGGUGAAGGAACUAGGCAAAAUGGUGCCGUAACUUCGGGAGAAGGCACGCUGACACGUAGGUGAAGUGAUUUACUCAUGGAGCUGAAGUCAGUCGAAGAUACCAGCUGGCUGCAACUGUUUAUUAAAAACACAGCACUGUGCAAACACGAAAGUGGACGUAUACGGUGUGACGCCUGCCCGGUGCCGGAAGGUUAAUUGAUGGGGUCAGCGCAAGCGAAGCUCCUGAUCGAAGCCCCGGUAAACGGCGGCCGUAACUAUAACGGUCCUAAGGUAGCGAAAUUCCUUGUCGGGUAAGUUCCGACCUGCACGAAUGGCGUAAUGAUGGCCAGGCUGUCUCCACCCGAGACUCAGUGAAAUUGAACUCGCUGUGAAGAUGCAGUGUACCCGCGGCAAGACGGAAAGACCCCGUGAACCUUUACUAUAGCUUGACACUGAACAUUGAGCCUUGAUGUGUAGGAUAGGUGGGAGGCUUUGAAGUGUGGACGCCAGUCUGCAUGGAGCCGACCUUGAAAUACCACCCUUUAAUGUUUGAUGUUCUAACGUGGACCCGUAAUCCGGGUUGCGGACAGUGUCUGGUGGGUAGUUUGACUGGGGCGGUCUCCUCCUAAAGAGUAACGGAGGAGCACGAAGGUUGGCUAAUCCUGGUCGGACAUCAGGAGGUUAGUGCAAUGGCAUAAGCCAGCUUGACUGCGAGCGUGACGGCGCGAGCAGGUGCGAAAGCAGGUCAUAGUGAUCCGGUGGUUCUGAAUGGAAGGGCCAUCGCUCAACGGAUAAAAGGUACUCCGGGGAUAACAGGCUGAUACCGCCCAAGAGUUCAUAUCGACGGCGGUGUUUGGCACCUCGAUGUCGGCUCAUCACAUCCUGGGGCUGAAGUAGGUCCCAAGGGUAUGGCUGUUCGCCAUUUAAAGUGGUACGCGAGCUGGGUUUAGAACGUCGUGAGACAGUUCGGUCCCUAUCUGCCGUGGGCGCUGGAGAACUGAGGGGGGCUGCUCCUAGUACGAGAGGACCGGAGUGGACGCAUCACUGGUGUUCGGGUUGUCAUGCCAAUGGCACUGCCCGGUAGCUAAAUGCGGAAGAGAUAAGUGCUGAAAGCAUCUAAGCACGAAACUUGCCCCGA
This 1576-nucleotide ribosomal RNA is filed under the name Salmonella enterica subsp. enterica serovar Altona. RNAcentral describes it as "partial 23S ribosomal RNA". It matches the Rfam family "Bacterial large subunit ribosomal RNA", at positions 1243 to 2802 of the family's 2925-position model. The record is from RNAcentral. Lineage: Bacteria; Pseudomonadati; Pseudomonadota; Gammaproteobacteria; Enterobacterales; Enterobacteriaceae.